CUUUGACCNCAAAUCAGGUAGGACUACCCNCUGAACUUAA
RNAcentral lists this ribosomal RNA (40 nucleotides) under Boletus huronensis. RNAcentral describes it as "partial 28S ribosomal RNA". Lineage: Eukaryota; Fungi; Basidiomycota; Agaricomycetes; Boletales; Boletaceae. The record is from RNAcentral.